Molecule: ribosomal RNA, 491 nt
Filed under: uncultured bacterium
Lineage: Bacteria
Description: partial 16S ribosomal RNA
Rfam family: Bacterial small subunit ribosomal RNA
Source: RNAcentral
AGUGAACGCUGGCGGUAGACCUAACACAUGCAAGUCGAACGGCAGCACAGUAAGAGCUUGCUCUUGCGGGUGGCGAGUGGCGGACGGGUGAGGAAUACAUCGGAAUCUACUUUUUCGUGGGGGAUAACGUAGGGAAACUUACGCUAAUACCGCAUACGACCUACGGGUGAAAGCAGGGGAUCUUCGGACCUUGCGCGAUUGAAUGAGCCGAUGUCGGAUUAGCUAGUUGGCGGGGUAAAGGCCCACCAAGGCGACGAUCCGUAGCUGGUCUGAGAGGAUGAUCAGCCACACUGGAACUGAGACACGGUCCAGACUCCUACGGGAGGCAGCAGUGGGGAAUAUUGGACAAUGGGCGCAAGCCUGAUCCAGCCAUACCGCGUGGGUGAAGAAGGCCUUCGGGUUGUAAAGCCCUUUUGUUGGGAAAGAAAAGCAGCAGGUUAAUACCCCGCUGUUCUGACGGUACCCAAAGAAUAAGCACCGGCUAACUGCGU